This 1224-nucleotide ribosomal RNA is filed under the name metagenome. RNAcentral describes it as "SSU rRNA". It matches the Rfam family "Eukaryotic small subunit ribosomal RNA", at positions 493 to 1774 of the family's 1831-position model. The record is from RNAcentral.
CUCAUGGUUUCACGGUAUUGCAAUGAGAACAAUUUAAAACCCUUAGCGAGAAUCAAGUGGAGGACAAGUCUGGUGCCAGCACCCGCGGUAAUUCCAGCUCCACUAGCGUAUAUUAAAGUUGUUGCAGUUAAAAAGCUCGUAGUUGAACCUCUGUCUGGGGCUAGUUUUGGCUUUGGUCAGGCUAGUUCUAGGCAUCCGCCUACAAGACUUAGAGGGCAUUCAGUUGUUCACUAGGAGGAGUAGGCAUUUUACUUUGAAAAAAUUAGAGUGUUUAAGGCAGGCAAUCGCCCGCAUAUAUUAGCAUGGAAUAAUAGAAUAGGACACUUUUCCAUUUCGUUGGUUAUUGGAAUCGUGUAAUGAUUAAUAGGGACAGUUGUGGGCAUUUGUAUUUAAUUGUCAGAGGUGAAAUUCUUGGAUUUAUUAAAGACAAACUAACGCGAAAGCAUUUGCCAAGGAUGUUUUCAUUAAUCAAGAACGAAAGUUAGGGGAUCAAAGACGAUCAGAUACCGUCCUAGUCUUAACUAUGAACUAUUCCGACUCAAUGUUUGACUGGCUUAUAUAACCAGUUGAGCGUUGUAUGAGAAAUCAAAGUCUUUAGGUUCUGGGGGGAGUAUGGUUGCAAAGCUGAAACUUAAAGGAAUUGACGGAAGAGCACAACCAGGAGUGGAUUCUGCGGCUUAAUUUGACUCAACACGGGGAAACUUACCAGGUUAAAACAAUAGCGGGAUUGACAGUUUGAGAGCGCUUUCUUGAUUGGUUGGGUGGUGGUGCAUGGCCGUUCUUAGUUGGUGGAGUGAUUUGUCUGCUUAAUUGCGUUAACGAACGAGACCUUAACCUGCUUACUAGACUGGCGAUCAUCAAUCGUUAGCUCUUCUUAGAGGGACUUUGGUUGUGUUAACUCCAAGGAAGUUUGAGGCAAUAACAGGUCUGUGAUGCCCUUAGAUAUCCUGGGCCGCACGCGUCAUACAAUGACUAGUUCAGAAAGUUUUCUCCUGACCCGAAAGGGGAUGGGUAAUCUUGAUAAUACUAGUCGUGUUAGGGAUCGAUCUUUGCAAUUAUAGAUCUUGAACGAGGAAUUCCUAGUAAGUGCGGUUCAUCAGACCGUACUGAUUACGUCCCUGCUCUUUGUACACACCGCCCGUCGCUUCUACCGAGUGGGUGGUCCGGUGAGAUAAUUGAACUUCGCAGGUAACUGAGAGGAAAGAUUAUCAAACCUAUCCACCU